This 198-nucleotide ribosomal RNA is filed under the name uncultured bacterium. RNAcentral's name for it is "partial 16S ribosomal RNA". It matches the Rfam family "Bacterial small subunit ribosomal RNA", at positions 326 to 539 of the family's 1533-position model. The record is from RNAcentral.
ACGCUCGACACCUACGGAAGGCAGCAGUGGGGAAUAUUGCACAAUGGGGGAAACCCUGAUGCAGCGACGCCGCGUGAAGGAAGAAGUAUCUCGGUAUGUAAACUUCUAUCAGCAGGGAAGAAAAUGACGGUACCUGACUAAGAAGCCCCGGCUAACUACGCGCCAGCAGCCGCGGUAAUCUGAGCGGGCUGGCAAGGC